UGAGUAACCUGCCCUUAACUCUGGGAUAAGCCUGGGAAACUGGGUCUAAUACCGGAUAUGACUCCUCAUCGCAUGGUGGGGGUGGAAAGCUUUAUUGUGGUUUUGGAUGGACUCGCGGCCUAUCAGCUUGUUGGUGAGGUAAUGGCUCACCAAGGCGACGACGGGUAGCCGGCCUGAGAGGGUGACCGGCCACACUGGGACUGAGACACGGCCCAGACCUCCUACGGGAGCAG
RNAcentral lists this ribosomal RNA (233 nucleotides) under uncultured bacterium. Its description in RNAcentral is "partial 16S ribosomal RNA". It matches the Rfam family "Bacterial small subunit ribosomal RNA", at positions 118 to 347 of the family's 1533-position model. The record is from RNAcentral.